Drosophila guanche is the source of this 1301-nucleotide long non-coding RNA. RefSeq lists it as uncharacterized. The transcript has 3 exons. The record is from RefSeq and is a predicted model, not a curated record. Lineage: Eukaryota; Metazoa; Arthropoda; Insecta; Diptera; Drosophilidae.
UCAAUUUUUAAGUUUUCUAUUUUUGUUUUCUUUGUUUGUACGAUGUACCAUUGUAAAGCUAACUCUGAAACAAAGCAAAGGAUCCGUCCGCGUUCGAUAACUGCCACUACUUACGUUUUGUUCAUUCGAUUCUUGCGGCACGAUCAUUGUGGUUUGUCGAAAACAGUCUGCAGUCGCACCAAAGCUUUGGGUUGGCUCUUUGUGGGUGUCGUCCUGUUGGCUGAUCCGUUGCUAUUGAUUCUGGGGGGACACCGUCGAAUUGGCAUCUUGAGAGUAUGAAUAGAGCCUGUUCUAUCCCCAUAGCAUCCACGCAUUCCUUUGGUAAACCUCAAGGCAAUGCCCAUGGAAUCCAUCCAAGUUCUAUCUUGGAAACAUUGCUUAUUUUUUUACCCAAGAACCUUUUUACACCAGAAGAAAAGCCUGCACUAGAAGGGGACAAACUGCAUCGUCACUAGCAGGAAGGAAUUAUUUCUGAUUUUGAGGAACCAAACACAAAUUCAAAGACUUGUCGUGUGUUGACUGCUGUAAGCACCAGUUAAUAAUCGACUACGGCUUGAGGCAGGUCACGGCUGCCUUCCAAAAUAACUAGCAAAGGAUCAGCGAAUAGGAUGAGAAACAUGAAAAACGAACCCCAUGGCGAGGAUCAAACUGCAGAUUAAAGUUAUCUAAAAAUCUUCGCCAACUGUUUGUUCCACGGUCCAAGGAAUGUAUUCUGUCGGAGGAGAAAGAAAGCAUUUAAUUAUGUGUUUAAUAUCAGAGGAAAGAGCAAGAGAACCCGCUUUCAUUCGUUUCUUUUCAUUCCAAGCAGUCUUCACUGUAAUCCUGAGCAAGGGGCAUGGGAAUUCCUGUCGGGGUAUGUGCCGGUUGUUGCGUGUUUACGCAACGUAACCAAAGUCAAAUCCUCUCGAUUAGGAUUCAAUCUGCUGCAGGGCCCUGACACGGCAACACUGCUUGUUGGUCCUUGUUGUUGCAUGCCACACUGCGUCCCACCUCCCAGCAGUCAGGUCAGGCAGCAAAGUCAAACCGAUUAAAACACACGCACGGACACGGAUACGGCCACGGAUACGAGGACGAGGACACAGGACACAGGACAGGGGCAAAUGGAGAACCAUUGUCCAGGGCGGUGCGGUGCUUUGGUGUCCACGUGUGUCCGUGGUGCGGACUCUGAACUCCGUAUCUGUGGAUCCAUAGGAACUCCCGUAGCUGUGUCGCUGUCUGUGGAGCGGUAUUCUUCAAGGGGCAAUUAACUGUUAAGCUUCCCCAACAGCAACAGCAGUAGCCGGAAAAAAACGUUGCAAGCG